GGUGUCCUUCACAUUGAAUUCCUGGAAGCUAAAUAGACUUAAUCAAGAAAGACAUUGUUAUCAUAUCUAAAGGUUCUUCAGAUCCAAAUGUCAUUCUCAGAGUGGGAGCCAAGACAUUCUGCAUAAAGACAAAGGACAACACAGUGAAUCCAAUAUGGAAUGAAGCGUUCGAGGCCUUUGUGGACAACUCACAUGGUCAGAAAAUAAAGAUUGGUGUCUUUUAUGAAGACAAAGCAUCUGAUGACGAAUCUCUUGGAAGUGUUGAGGCUGACAUUGGUACAAUUGUCCAGCAAGGCAAUGUUGAAUUGUGGCUUCCACUAGAGAAUGUGAA
RNAcentral lists this long non-coding RNA (331 nucleotides) under Pocillopora damicornis (cauliflower coral). Its description in RNAcentral is "uncharacterized LOC113665642, transcript variant X1". Lineage: Eukaryota; Metazoa; Cnidaria; Anthozoa; Scleractinia; Pocilloporidae. The record is from RNAcentral.